Molecule: ribosomal RNA, 496 nt
Filed under: uncultured bacterium
Lineage: Bacteria
Description: bacterial SSU rRNA
Rfam family: Bacterial small subunit ribosomal RNA
Source: RNAcentral
CAGCGGCAGCCUAAUCAUGCGAGUCGGACGGGAUUGGGAUUAAAGCUUGCUUUGAUUUCAUGAGAGUGGCGCACGGGUGCGUAACGCGUGAGCAACCUACCCAUAUCAGGGGGAUAGCCUCUCGAAAGAGAGAUUAACACCGCAUAACAUCAUUUACCGGCAUCGGUUGAUGAUCAAAUAUUUAUAGGAUAUGGAUGGGCUCGCGUGACAUUAGCUAGUUGGAGGGGUAACGGCCCACCAAGGCUACGAUGUCUAGGGGCUCUGAGAGGAGAAUCCCCCACACUGGUACUGAGACACGGACCAGACUCCUACGGGAGGCAGCAGUAAGGAAUAUUGGUCAAUGGAGGGAACUCUGAACCAGCCAUGCCGCGUGCAGGAUGACUGCCCUAUGGGUUGUAAACUGCUUUUGUCAGGGAAUAAACCUUUCCACGUGUGGGAAGCUGAAUGUACCUGAAGAAUAAGGAUCGGCUAACUCCGUGCCAGCAGCCGCGGUAAU